UACGUAGGGUGCAAGCGUUGUCCGGAAUUAUUGGGCGUAAAGAGCUCGUAGGCGGUCUGUCGCGUCUGCUGUGAAAACUCAGGGCUUAACCCUGAGCUUGCAGUCGGUACGGGCAGACUAGAGUGCGGUAGGGGAGACUGGAAUUCCUGGUGUAGCGGUGAAAUGCGCAGAUAUCAGGAGGAACACCGGUGGCGAAGGCGGGUCUCUGGGCCGUAACUGACGCUGAGGAGCGAAAGCAUGGGGAGCGAACAGG
This 253-nucleotide ribosomal RNA is filed under the name uncultured bacterium. Its description in RNAcentral is "partial 16S ribosomal RNA". It matches the Rfam family "Bacterial small subunit ribosomal RNA", at positions 524 to 776 of the family's 1533-position model. The record is from RNAcentral.